GGCCACUGAAGAGUAGGUCUUGAGACCAUCGGGACCAAAUUAAUGGUGAGCCUAUUAAAGAAAUAGAAAAAUUCAGUCACUAUGAGGAUUAUUUUUCACAAAAAGAAAUCAAUAUAAUUCUGAUGGAAAAUGUUAUGACAGGAUAAAAAAAAAAGUAUGUAAGUACUGAUCUCGGUCACCACCAUGCUCAAGAUGAGGAAUAAAUGCCUCUGGCACAAGCAUCAAAAUCCAUAGGAGACAGGAUUCAAGGUUUCCAUUGGAGAGAGCCUUUAUUCACAACCAAUCAAGUUUCUUCUGGGGGAUAGCAUCCCAAAGGACCAGAGCUUCAAACGGUUCUAUUCUCUGCUGCAUUAUAUGUUCUUCUACACACUUCCUGAUCAAUAGUUCCUGGCCACCCCAACUCCCCUCGUAAUAGUCCCGAAGAACCCAUAGAAGCAAUUCCUCAGUGAAGCCUCUGAGCCUAAAGCUGUGCUGACUGCAUGGUCAUAACCCUGGUUAAGUUGCAUAAAUGUGACAUCAACAUGAAAACAAAUGAGUUGAAUAUUCAAGACAGUAUGGAAUUGGGCAUAAUAUCUACA
Canis lupus familiaris (dog) is the source of this 578-nucleotide long non-coding RNA. RefSeq lists it as uncharacterized. Lineage: Eukaryota; Metazoa; Chordata; Mammalia; Carnivora; Canidae. The transcript has 4 exons. The record is from RefSeq and is a predicted model, not a curated record.